This 253-nucleotide ribosomal RNA is filed under the name uncultured bacterium. RNAcentral describes it as "partial 16S ribosomal RNA". It matches the Rfam family "Bacterial small subunit ribosomal RNA", at positions 524 to 776 of the family's 1533-position model. The record is from RNAcentral.
UACGAAGGGUGCUAGCGUUGUUCGGAAUUACUGGGCGUAAAGAGCGCGUAGGCGGUUGUACAAGUCAGGGGUGAAAUCCCGGAGCUUAACUCCGGAACUGCCUUUGAAACUGUACAGCUGGAGUGUGUGAGGGGAUAGCGGAAUUCCUAAUGUAGAGGUGAAAUUCGUAGAUAUUAGGAGGAACACCGGUGGCGAAGGCGGCUAUCUGGCGCACAACUGACGCUGAGGCGCGAAAGCGUGGGGAUCAAACAGG